Molecule: ribosomal RNA, 390 nt
Filed under: uncultured Pseudomonas sp.
Lineage: Bacteria; Pseudomonadati; Pseudomonadota; Gammaproteobacteria; Pseudomonadales; Pseudomonadaceae
Description: bacterial SSU rRNA
Rfam family: Bacterial small subunit ribosomal RNA
Source: RNAcentral
UUUCCAGAGAUGGAUUGGUUGCCUUCGGGAACGUCUGACACAGGUGCUGCAUGGCUGUCGUCAGCUCGUGUCGUGAGAUGUUGGGUUAAGUCCCGUAACGAGCGCAACCCUUGUCCUUAGUUACCAGCACGUUAUGGUGGGCACUCUAAGGAGACUGCCGGGUGACAAACCGGAGGAAGGUGGGGGAUGACGUCAAGUCAUCAUGGCCCUUACGGCCUGGGCUACACACGUGCUACAAUGGUCGGUACAAAGGGUUGCCAAGCCGCGAGGUGGAGCUAAUCCCAUAAAACCGAUCGUAGUCCGGAUCGCAGUCUGCAACUCGACUGCGUGAAGUCGGAAUCGCUAGUAAUCGUGAAUCAGAAUGUCACGGUGAAUACGUUCCCGGGCCUU